CCUACGGGUGGCAGCAGUGAGGAAUAUUGGUCAAUGGGCGCGAGCCUGAACCAGCCAAGUAGCGUGAAGGAUGACAGCCCUAUGGGUUUUAAACUUCUUUUAUAAAGGAAUAAAGUGCGGCACGUGUGCGUUUUUGUAUGUACCUUAUGAAUAAGCAUCGGCUAAUUCCGUGCCAGCAGCCGCGGUAAUACGGAGGAUCCGAGCGUUAUCCGGAUUUAUUGGGUUUAAAGGGAGCGUAGAGGGUUGCUUAAGUCAGCGGUAAAAUCGUGCGGCUCAACCGUAAAAUUCCGUUGAAACUGGGGGUCUUGAGUAUGCGUAGGGUAGACGGAAUUCGUGGUGUAGCGGUGAAAUGCUUAGAUAUCACGAAGAACCCCGAUUGCGAAGGCAGCGUACCGGAGCACGACUGACGCUGAGGCUCGAAAGUGUGGGUAUCAAACAGGAUUAGAUACCCGUGUAGUC
Molecule: ribosomal RNA, 459 nt
Filed under: uncultured bacterium
Lineage: Bacteria
Description: partial 16S ribosomal RNA
Rfam family: Bacterial small subunit ribosomal RNA
Source: RNAcentral